Molecule: transfer RNA, 73 nt
Filed under: Candidatus Shapirobacteria bacterium
Lineage: Bacteria; Candidatus Shapironibacteriota
Description: tRNA-Trp
Rfam family: tRNA
About the family: Transfer RNA (tRNA) molecules are approximately 80 nucleotides in length. Their secondary structure includes four short double-helical elements and three loops (D, anti-codon, and T loops). Further hydrogen bonds mediate the characteristic L-shaped molecular structure. tRNAs have two regions of fundamental functional importance: the anti-codon, which is responsible for specific mRNA codon recognition, and the 3' end, to which the tRNAs corresponding amino acid is attached (by aminoacyl-tRNA synthetases). tRNAs cope with the degeneracy of the genetic code in two manners: having more than one tRNA (with a specific anti-codon) for a particular amino acid; and 'wobble' base-pairing, i.e. permitting non-standard base-pairing at the 3rd anti-codon position.
Source: RNAcentral
GGGUGGAUAGUUCAGUUGGUUAGAAUGCUGGUCCCCAAAACCGGCGACAAUGGUUCAAACCCAUUUCCACCCA